AGCGAACGCUGGCGGCAGGCCUAACACAUGCAAGUCGAACGGCAGCACAGGAGAGCUUGCUCUCUGGGUGGCGAGUGGCGGACGGGUGAGGAAUACAUCGGAAUCUACUUUUUCGUGGGGGAUAACGUAGGGAAACUUACGCUAAUACCGCAUACGACCUACGGGUGAAAGCAGGGGGUCUUCGGACCUUGCGCGAUUGAAUGAGCCGAUGUCGGAUUAGCUAGUUGGCGGGGUAAAGGCCCACCAAGGCGAAGAUCCGUAGCUGGUCUGAGAGGAUGAUCAGCCAAACUGGAACUGUGACACGGUCCAGACUCCUACGGGAGGCAGCAGUGGGGAAUAUUGGACAAUGGGCGCAAGCCUGAUCCAGCCAUACCGCGUGGGUGAAGAAGGCCUUCGGGUUGUAAAGCCCUUUUGUUGGGAAAGAAAUCCAGCUGGUUAAUACCCGGUUGGGAUGACGGUACCCAAAGAAUAAGCACCGGCUAACUUCGUGCCAGUCGCCGCGGUAA
This 506-nucleotide ribosomal RNA is filed under the name uncultured bacterium. RNAcentral describes it as "partial 16S ribosomal RNA". It matches the Rfam family "Bacterial small subunit ribosomal RNA", at positions 29 to 523 of the family's 1533-position model. The record is from RNAcentral.